GAUGAACGCUGGCGGCGUGCCUAAUACAUGCAAGUCGAGCGAACGGACGAGAAGCUUGCUUCUCUGAUGUUAGCGGCGGACGGGUGAGUAACACGUGGAUAACCUACCUAUAAGACUGGGAUAACUUCGGGAAACCGGAGCUAAUACCGGAUAAUAUUUUGAACCGCAUGGUUCAAAAGUGAAAGACGGUCUUGCUGUCACUUAUAGAUGGAUCCGCGCUGCAUUAGCUAGUUGGUAAGGUAACGGCUUACCAAGGCAACGAUGCAUAGCCGACCUGAGAGGGUGAUAGGCCACACUGGAACUGAGACACGGUCCAGACUCCUACGGGAGGCAGCAGUAGGGAAUCUUCCGCAAUGGGCGAAAGCCUGACGGAGCAACGCCGCGUGAGUGAUGAAGGUCUUCGGAUCGUAAAACUCUGUUAUUAGGGAAGAACAUAUGUGUAAGUAACUGUGCACAUCUUGACGGUACCUAAUCAGAAAGCUACGGCUAACUACGUG
Molecule: ribosomal RNA, 497 nt
Filed under: uncultured bacterium
Lineage: Bacteria
Description: partial 16S ribosomal RNA
Rfam family: Bacterial small subunit ribosomal RNA
Source: RNAcentral